RNAcentral lists this small RNA (83 nucleotides) under Marmota monax (woodchuck). The record is from RNAcentral. Lineage: Eukaryota; Metazoa; Chordata; Mammalia; Rodentia; Sciuridae.
GCCGGGCGCGGUGGUGCAUGCCUGUAAUCCCACUGGCUUGGGAGGCUGAGGCAGGAGGAUUGCAUAUUCAAAGCCAGCCUCAG